AGCAGCCGCGGUAAUUCCAGCUCCAAUAGCGUAUAUUAAAGUUGUUGCAGUUAAAAAGCUCGUAGUUGAAUUUCGGGAUCAAUUAAUUGGUCGUGCCUCUGGUACGUACUGAUUUUAUUGGUUUCUCCCUUCUGACGAACCAUGAUGUCAUUAAUUUGGUGUCGUGGAGAAUCAGGACUGUUACUUUGAAAAAAUUAGAGUGUUUAAAGCAAGCUAACGCUUGAAUACAUUAGCAUGGAAUAAUGAAAUAGGACGUUUGAUCCUAUUUUGUUGGUUUCUAGGAUCGACGUAAUGAUUAAUAGGGAUAGUUGGGGGCAUUAGUAUUCAAUUGUCAGAGGUGAAAUUCUUGGAUUUAUUGAAGACUAACUACUGCGAAAGCAUUUGCCAAGGAUGUUUUCAUUAAUCAAGAACGAAAGUUAGGGGAUCGAAGACGAUCAGAUACCGUCGUAGUCUUAACCAUAAACUAUGCCGACUAGGGAUCGGAUGA
RNAcentral lists this unclassified non-coding RNA (487 nucleotides) under uncultured Glomus. RNAcentral's name for it is "SSU rRNA". It matches the Rfam family "Eukaryotic small subunit ribosomal RNA", at positions 569 to 1060 of the family's 1831-position model. The record is from RNAcentral. Lineage: Eukaryota; Fungi; Glomeromycota; Glomeromycetes; Glomerales; Glomeraceae.